RNAcentral lists this long non-coding RNA (266 nucleotides) under Monodelphis domestica (gray short-tailed opossum). Its description in RNAcentral is "lncRNA (ENSMODG00000032530.2)". Lineage: Eukaryota; Metazoa; Chordata; Mammalia; Didelphimorphia; Didelphidae. The record is from RNAcentral.
UAGUAGCUACAAUUGUGCACCUUCUUUGUUUAAAGCCACACCUUUUGUACUUGUCAAUUGUGAUUGAAAGAAAUUCCUUGCCUUUAUUUAUACUGUCUGGGUUUGGCAUUUUCUAGGAGGAUGGGGAAGAAGAAACCAUCUGAGGCAAUUAUUUCAUACUUGUCAGAUGAACUAGGAUGAAAACUCUUCAGUAAUAUGGUGAAUAAGGAGCACAGUUAGGCCAAUUGAAUUUUAAAUCCUCUCCCUCCUUUUCUCAAACCUUGAGA